Leptidea sinapis is the source of this 1420-nucleotide long non-coding RNA. RefSeq lists it as uncharacterized. The transcript is spliced from 3 exons. NCBI's taxonomy places the organism in Eukaryota, Metazoa, Arthropoda, Insecta, Lepidoptera, Pieridae. The record is from RefSeq and is a predicted model, not a curated record.
AUGUUGGUUAUUAUCAUACUUCAAGUUUUUUUUUUAAUCUUUACCUAAGUAUACGGUUAACAUUUUCUGUAGAUAAAUUAGAUCGAGAUGAAGAAGUUAGAAUAUAUGGAUUUAAUUUUCGAAUUGCAAUUUGAAAAUUAAACAUGAAACUUUAAGUUUAUAUUUUUUUAAUAUUUAAAUAAGAACAUGGCCAACACUUUGGGAAAUUUUCAUCGGCAUACAAAAGGUGUUGGUGGUGGCUGUGGAGUGGGAGGUGCUGGCCCUGGCUGGCUGUGCUCCGGCUCUUGACCUGGUGAGGGCGGGCGGCUACGAUUCCAGAACUCCUGCAUCUUAAACCUCUGGGCUUCUGUCUGUAUGGCUGUUUGGUGGCCGGUCACAGAGAAUGUUCCGCGCCGCGGAAUCUGCGGACAAGAAAACGUCGUGAGUUUUCCGGCCACUUCCGGGUGUAAGUUUCGCGGGGGAAAGCGGAAGGGACCUGCUUGGAGCGCGGGCGGGCGACGACUAACUUCUUGGUGGAAAACUUGGGCGCCGCGACGCUUUCUUGCGGGGAGGGAGGACGCGCGCGCCUCGCGAAGACGCCGCUCCAACUAGCAAGACGCGGCGCCGCCCCCGCUGCCUUAGACGACAUCAAGAACAUCCCCACCGCCUUAGCGCACGCGUACACAGUUUUUUCAGCGAAAAACCGCGUCCGGUCAAGGAAAAGACGGCGCGGUCCGGACUUCGGACGACGAUUAAACGCGGUCGCUACGCCGGACCGGCUACCUCGGACCGAGGCCCAAAUAACUAUCAAAAAGGGCGCCAAUACAAACCCUCUCGCUCGCUCGACCCCUACACGCUUCCCACCCUAGUUAGAAAGGGACGGGUAGCUAAACGAAUUUUUUCUAAGCCGCUAUUAGUGAGGGAGGAAAUAGAAAAGAAUGGGUUUCUUUAUGAUUUUUUCUUGAUAGCCUUUCUCGCUUGCACUCGGGGUCACCCUAUAAUUGCGUUUCGUUUCGAGUUUUUAAGUAUUCUUUCUGUUCCGCCUCUUGUACUAUUGAAUUUUUUUAUUCAGGCGGGGCUUAGAUUAUGGGGAUUUAGCCAACGGCCUUUUAUAAGCGUGUUUGUUCAUUUUUUACCUAAAUGUAGAAAAUUUUUAGUCACACCCAACUGAUUAAAUUACCUACACUUUUGACACACACUUAAAUUAAUAAAGUAGUCUAAUUUAACAUUACUUAUUUAGUUUUUAAGAAUAUUUGUAUUAUUAAGAAUGAGUUUCAAAUGGUUUUCAUCUUAGUAAGACUACACGGCUCUAGAAAAUAUCUUUCGCUACCCCUCAAUAGAUGGCAUCGUCUCAAUUAUAUUCACUUGAAAAGUAUCCUUUAAUUUGUUAAGUUUUCAUAAUAAAUUAUGUUUAUUUCUGUAGUUAUUAGUACGGAGUUAU